CAUGCAGUCGAGCGGAACGAGUUAUCUGAACCUUCGGGGAACGAUAACGGCGUCGAGCGGCGGACGGGUGAGUAAUGCCUAGGAAAUUGCCCUGAUGUGGGGGAUAACCAUUGGAAACGAUGGCUAAUACCGCAUGAUGCCUACGGGCCAAAGAGGGGGACCUUCGGGCCUCUCGCGUCAGGAUAUGCCUAGGUGGGAUUAGCUAGUUGGUGAGGUAAGGGCUCACCAAGGCGACGAUCCCUAGCUGGUCUGAGAGGAUGAUCAGCCACACUGGAACUGAGACACGGUCCAGACUCCUACGGGAGGCAGCAGUGGGGAAUAUUGCACAAUGGGCGCAAGCCUGAUGCAGCCAUGCCGCGUGUGUGAAGAAGGCCUUCGGGUUGUAAAGCACUUUCAGUCGUGAGGAAGGUGGUAUAGUUAAUAGCUGUAUUAUUUGACGUUAGCGACAGAAGAAGCACCGGCUAACUCCGUGCCAGCAGCCGCGGUAAUACGGAGGGUGCGAGCGUUAAUCGGAAUUACUGGGCGUAAAGCGCAUGCAGGUGGUUUGUUAAGUCAGAUGUG
RNAcentral lists this ribosomal RNA (561 nucleotides) under Vibrio sp. BTMV10. Its description in RNAcentral is "bacterial SSU rRNA". It matches the Rfam family "Bacterial small subunit ribosomal RNA", at positions 54 to 596 of the family's 1533-position model. The record is from RNAcentral. Lineage: Bacteria; Pseudomonadati; Pseudomonadota; Gammaproteobacteria; Vibrionales; Vibrionaceae.